CCUACGGGUGGCAGCAGUGGGGAAUAUUGCACAAUGGGCGCAAGCCUGAUGCAGCGACGCCGCGUGCGGUAUGGAGGCCUUCGGGUUGUAAACCGCUUUUGUUCAAGGGCACGGCACGGUCUUUGUCCGUGUUGAGUGGAUUGUUCGAAUAAGCACCGGCUAACUACGUGCCAGCAGCCGCGGUAAUACGUAGGGUGCAAGCGUUAUCCGGUUUUAUUGGGCGUAAGGGGCUCGUAGGCGGUUCGUCGCGUCCGGUGUAAAAGUCCAUCGCUUAACGGUGGAUCCGCGCCGGGUACGGGCGGGCUGGAGUGCGGUAGAGGAGGCUGGAAUUCCCGGUGUAACGGUGGAAUGUGUAGAGAUCGGGAAGAACACCGAUGGCGAAGGCAGGUCUCUGGGCCGUUACUGACGCUGAGGAGCGAAAGCGUGGGGAGCGAACAGGAUUAGAUACCCUUGUAGUC
This 458-nucleotide ribosomal RNA is filed under the name uncultured bacterium. RNAcentral's name for it is "partial 16S ribosomal RNA". It matches the Rfam family "Bacterial small subunit ribosomal RNA", at positions 338 to 795 of the family's 1533-position model. The record is from RNAcentral.